GGGGAUGACAGGCUUCGACGGAAGAGGCUGGUCCCGGACUGCGAGUCGAGAGGUGCCGACCUCGAUAAAUCAGCACACCAAAUUAAGUGCCAAUCGCACUGACUACGCAGCUCUGCCCCUCGCCGCGUAAGUGGUUGAGUAAAGAGCUCGUCUGACCUCUCAGUAGGUCACGCCCGCCAUCUCCUAACUCCGGCUGGAGGUGGUCUGGGCGACACAAAGCUGGAGUGCCACUCGGGACGCUGCUAAACGGGUGAAAGAAAGGCUUUCGGGCCUUAGCAGCUAACCAGUAAAACCCUGGGUCACCUGUGGGUUUGCUGGUGAACACAAACAGGUGACUACACUCGUAGAUGUUCGAGGGCUUAAUCUUGCGGACGCGGGUUCGAUUCCCGCCAUCUCCACCU
This 401-nucleotide transfer-messenger RNA is filed under the name Anaerolineales. Its description in RNAcentral is "JAFGRA01 sp016935415 Standard tmRNA". It matches the Rfam family "transfer-messenger RNA". Rfam says of the family: Bacterial tmRNA, also known as 10Sa RNA or SsrA, is named for its dual tRNA and mRNA-like properties. Its role is to liberate the mRNA from a stalled ribosome. To accomplish this part of the tmRNA is used as a reading frame that ends in a translation stop signal. RNAcentral also lists the same sequence under 1 other name. The record is from RNAcentral. Lineage: Bacteria; Bacillati; Chloroflexota; Anaerolineae.